This 440-nucleotide ribosomal RNA is filed under the name uncultured bacterium. RNAcentral describes it as "partial 16S ribosomal RNA". It matches the Rfam family "Bacterial small subunit ribosomal RNA", at positions 338 to 795 of the family's 1533-position model. The record is from RNAcentral.
CCUACGGGUGGCAGCAGUGGGGAAUAUUGCACAAUGGGGGGAACCCUGAUGCAGCAACGCCGCGUGGGUGAAGAAGUACUCCGGUAUGUAAAGCCCUGUCAGCAGGGAAGAAAAUGACGGUACCUGACCAAGAAGCCCCGGCUAACUACGUGCCAGCAGCCGCGGUAAUACGUAGGGGGCAAGCGUUAUCCGGAUUUACUGGGGGUAAAGGGAGCGUAGACGGCAAGGCAAGUCUGGAGUGAAAGCCCGGGGCCCAACCACGGGACUGCUUUGGAGACUGUGUUGCUGGAGUGCAGGAGGGGUAAGCGGAAUUCCUGGUGUAGCGGUGAAAUGCGUAGAUAUUAGGAGGAACACCGGUGGCGAAGGCGGCUUACUGGACUGUAACUGACGUUGAGGCUCGAAGGCGUGGGGAGCAAACAGGAUUAGAUACCCUAGUAGUC